CUAGAGUCUGCUAUUGUUCCUCUUAACCCGAAUCCACUGUCUUUGCACAUUCUCCAAUGAGAACUGGCCGGUGUGAGCUUUGAAGCCGAAAUCCACAGCGCAAGUCGCCAAUCAAACAAACCAGUCAGACAAACAGGGAGAGCGAGAGAGAGCGAGGAAAGAGCGUGCGUCUCAUAUGGACUAACAGAGCCGCGCUCGUGAUCAGUGCACGAUCUUCUGCCACUGGAUACCGGAAAGGGCCUCCUGAUCACCAUCUAUCAAAGCACAGCGAUUGAGCCUGAGAAUAAACGAGAAGGACUAUGACACAGGCGCUCAAGAGGCCGUGCACACGAGAUCGACUUGACAACUUUGGGCUCCUGAGCUCAAAUACAUCUGUAUUUAAGAUACGUUUAUUUAAUAGGACCAUCUGAGCCACAUGUGAGGAAACGUUGUGUAGUUAGAGCCUAAUGAAACAGUUGCGCAACUUAUAGCGCCAUCUAGCUCCUUUCUGUGUUCCUCCUGUGCACUGCAGCACCCCCUACAGGAACAUGUCUGCAGCGCAGACUCAGAAUGACCGGGAGCAGUGCUGGGGUUGUCUGGAAUCGCUCGGCCUCAGCCAGAGGGAGCUGGUCCUUGCAGAGGCCCUGCAGAUGGAGUAUGACGCUCUCGCCCGCCACCGACAGGACAAGGCCCCAGCAAAUACUCUACCCCCUGAAACCAAGUCAUCGCCUGCAAAAAGCGAGCCCUCCCUGCCUAGACACGUUCCCAGUCCUCCUUGGAAUAAUUUGCAGCAGGGUGUUUCCGGAUCUGACCCCAUGCUCAACCACGUUCAACCCGGGGUGUCGAACUUAUCACAAUCCAGCAGUGAGUCUUCCGGAUUUAGUAAGGAGCCUCGUUACAUUCUGGAUGAAUGGAAAAGUGACUUCGAAGGAACGUCGCAGUUGCUGUCAAAAGGGCCACCGUCUCUAGAUGAGCCUCCGCCACCAGUACCACCCAGAAAUCCCAUCCUCCAGAACGAUCCGUUCAUUGUCCAUCGAAGCUCAGCCCCACGGGAUGUCAACUUGUUCACUCCUGAGGUGGACCAGCCCAAGCUUUCCUUCGGAGACACUCUGAACUAUGAUAACCUCAAUGACUCCCUGAGCAAGCUAAAUGAGGAUUGGCUCUCACCUAAUAGAAGCCAGAGAGCAAAUGGGGACAAAUCAGGGAAGACAGUAGCUCGCAGUAACACCCUUCCUCCUCAGAUUCCUCCCCGCACCUAUCUUCCAGCGCAGAAGAGUACUAGAAGCCAACGCAGAGUAUCAAUUGAUCCGGUAUCUCUAGGGUCCAGGCCAAAUGGCUUUGGUUACGAGCUCUUUCAGGUUUCUGAAGAGAGGGAUGAAGAAGUGGCGGCCUUCUGUCAUAUACUUGACUUGCUACGAUUGGCGUACCCAUGCAAUGACUACUCCAAAAAUACAGGCUUUGUUUGGAGUCCGUGUGUGGCACAAGAUGAACUGCAGCAGGGCCUGGGGGUCAGCAUAAAGGUCACGGUUUACAGUGACAACUUCAGAGAACCACUCACAUUCUCUUGUGAUGGAUCUUCAACCAUAGACCUGCUAAUUUAUCAGACUCUCUGCUAUGCCCAUGAUGACCUGGAUAUGAUUGAUGUGGACGACUACCUGCUGAAAAUCUGCGGCCAGGCAGAGUUCCUCAAAAACACUCAGACUCUGGCGAGCUUUGAGUACAUCCAGCAGUGUCUGAAGUUUGACUGGGACAUUCAACUCAUUCUUACCAAACGGAGUUCUGUCAACAUGGAGCUGGGCCGAACGGCAGAGGAUGAUGUUACUCCAUCCACCAUGAACCAAAGUAUUCUACUGCAAGAGAGGUCAAUCAAACAGACCGUGACCAGGGAGGCACUGACUCUUCUCCUGGAUACCUUUUACAAUGAGGCUGAGUCUUUCCUUUUAUCGGAGGUUGAGUUGCCGUUGCAUGUGGAGAGGUUAGUGCAGUCUGUGAAGGCUUUGUGUUCUUCUCUAGCAGCUGUUGAAACACCUGACAUCACUGCUGCCCUAAACCAACUGCCAGCAUGCCCCUGCAGACUACAGCCUAAAGUGCAAAAGGAUGUCAGUGUCUUGGCAAAGAGAGAAAACAGAGUGACAAUUGUGGAGAAAUUGACUGCAGCCAUCUUGGAUCUUGUGGAGUUGUACUGCAGCACUUUCAAUGCUAAUUUCCACACCAUGCCACACAGCAGCAGAUCCACAGCCCCCAUACAGGAAGCUGGAAUGGUCACCAACGUGCUUUCCUUCAGCGUUUAUGCGGCUCAUCGCAUCCCUAUCACAUGGGCUCAUUCAUUAUACAUUUGCUUCCCCAUCCAGAUCAACCAGUUGCCAAGGGAGUCACAGUUGACUGUAACACUAUAUGCCACCCCUGUACCGCCCCCUGGAGGUGCGGAGGAGAAGGGCAAACAGAAACGCAGCAUUGAGGCUUUGGGUUGGGUCACCAUGCCCUUAUUCAACUUUAGACAUGUUCUAACAUGUGGGAGGAAGCUGCUGGGUCUCUGGCCUUCAACCCCUGGCAGUGGAAAUGCUCGUUCCAGUUUGCCCAACUUCAGCCAGCCAGACAGUGUCAUCCUUCAGGUUUGGCCUUUUGCUCAAAUCAAAUUGUUGACUCCAGAGGACCGGCGUCUAUUGUGGGAGAAGCGUUAUUUCUGCCACGUUGAAUGGGGAUGCAUGAACCACCUGGAUGCCCUAGGCCUGCUGAACGCCACGUUUCCAGAUCAGGAGUGCAGGCGGACAGCGGUCCAGUGGAUGGACUCAAUCUCUGAUCCUGAGCUUUUGGACUUCCUUCCUCAGUUAGUGCAGGCGCUGAAGUACGAGUGUUAUCUGGACAGUCACCUGGUGCGUUUUCUGCUGAGGAGGGCCAUUGGGGACAUACGCAUUGCUCACUACCUCUUCUGGUUGCUGAAAGAUGCUCUUCAAGACUCUCAGUUUAGCGUGAGGUAUCAGUAUCUGCUGGCGGCUCUUCUCUGCUGCUCUGGUCGUGGUUUGAGAGAAGAGUUUGAUCGGCAAUGCUGGCUGGUCAAUAUUCUGGCUAAAAUAGCCCAACGUGUUCGAGAUGCCUCGCCUUCAUCCAGACAGGCUAUUCUCCGGGAGGGUCUGGAUGAGGUCAAACAGUUCUUCUCUAUGAACAGCAGUUGUCGACUUCCUUUGAACCCGGGCCUGUUCGUCAAGGGCAUCAACAUACAGUCUUGCUCCUACUUCAACUCUAAUGCAGUGCCCCUCAAGCUGUCGUUCCAGAACCAGGAUGCUCUGGGGGACCACGUCAAUGUCAUCUUUAAGUGUGGAGAUGACCUGCGGCAGGACAUGCUGACGCUGCAGAUCAUCCGGAUCAUGAAUAAGAUCUGGAUCCAGGAGGGACUUGAUAUGAGGAUGGUCAUCUUCCGCUGUUUCUCUACUGGACGAGGCAAAGGCAUGGUAGAGAUGAUUCCCAGUGCAGAAACCCUGAGGAAGAUCCAGGUUGAGCAUGGAGUGACUGGUUCUUUCAAAGACCGGCCUUUGGCAGAUUGGCUGCAGAAACACAACCCCACUGAGGAUGAGUAUGAAAAGGCAGUGGAAAACUUCAUCUAUUCGUGUGCUGGUUGUUGUGUGGCCACAUACAUUCUAGGAAUCUGCGACCGCCACAAUGACAACAUCAUGCUUAAGACUAGCGGACACAUGUUUCACAUCGACUUUGGCAAGUUCCUGGGGCAUGCACAGAUGUUUGGCAACAUCAAACGGGACCGGGCUCCUUUUGUGUUUACAUCUGACAUGGCGUAUGUCAUCAAUGGAGGUGACAAGCCAUCCAGCCGUUUCCAUGAUUUUGUGGACUUGUGUUGUGAAGCCUACAAUCUGAUUAGGAAACAUGCACAUCUUUUUCUCAAUCUGCUUGGGCUGAUGCUCUCCAGUGGGAUACCAGAGUUGUCUGAUGUGGAUGAUCUGAAAUAUGUUUAUGAUGCUCUGAGACCACAUGAAUCAGAAGCAGAUGCCACCAUGCACUUCACCAGGCUAAUCGAGUCCAGUCUUGGCAGUGUGGCUACUAAGCUCAAUUUCUUCAUCCAUAACCUGGCCCAAAUGAAAUUUGCAUCCUCUGAGGAGCGUCCCGUUCUGUCAUUUGCUCCCCGUGUCUACACUUUAAAGAGUGAUGGUGUCAUUCGCAACCUAUUCGUCUGCAGACACAUCAAAACCUAUACUCCAAGCAAAGGCUAUUCUUAUGUUGUAAAAGUGGAGCGGGAAGGUCAGCAGGGGUCAACUUUAGUCCAGAGGACAUUUGAGGAGUUCCAUGAACUUCACAGUAAACUGCAGCUCAUCUUCCCUUCAUCAAAACUACCCAGCUUCCCCAGCCGCUUUGUGAUUGGUCGGUCUCGAGGAGAGGCCCUUGCAGACAGGAGGAAAGAGGAGCUAAAUGGAUAUGUUUGGCAUUUGAUCCAUGCUACUCAAGAGGUGGCACAGUGUGAUCUGAUCUACACAUUCUUUCACCCUCUACCAAGAGACGAGCGGGCAGGAAGUUCCAGCUCCUCUUUUUCUCCAGAUGUGUCCUGGGCUCCUGUUCCCGGUACAGUGGCAGGGGAAGUGAAGCUCUCAGUUCUGUACAAGAGCGACAAGCUUUUUAUCAUGGUGAUGCACAUCAGAGGCUUGCAACCUUUGCAGGACGGAACAGAUCCUGAUCCAUACGUCAAAUUGUACCUCCUCCCAGACCCUCAGAAAACUAGCAAGAGGAAGACCAAGGCAGCCCGGCGAACAUGCAACCCCACUUACAAUGAGAUGCUGGUGUAUGACAAGAUUCCACGUGGUGAUUUGCAGCAAAGAACCGUUCACCUGCGGGUACUGAGUGAGGGUGCAUUCUGGGAGAAUACCCUGCUGGGUGAAACCAUUAUUCAACUGAAAGACCUCACCCCGGGCCAUCGCUGGGUUGGCUGGCACCAGCUUGGCUCUGACAUAAACCGCUAACACUUGUGUGGAUGCCCAUUGGAAAUGAAGGAUUUCACAUGAGUCCUUCAGUGUGCAUGCGUUUGUGUCUGUCUUUGCUUAUGGGUCUGGAGUUGGAGAUGCCCAGCUGCUCAGAAGCCUGUUUCCCCCAGUGGGGGUUUGUGUUUGUUAAUUCUCCCAGGAGACGUGUAGAGUCGGUGAUGGAGUGUCAUCGCUUGAUACUGUUCUGGUGGGGUACCGUGCACCAUGUGAACCAGACCUUGGAUUUAUGGAAGCGGUUCUUGGUGACACUAUGGGACAAAAACCAUUUGGUGACACAAGGAUUGGCAGACAGAAUAUUUAAAGAUGAAAUAACUUUCAUGCGCCAUAUUUUUGGGGAGAUUUCUGGAAAAUUGAUGUCUGUGAAACUUUAAAGCCCCAUUUUGUCUUCUUGAGAAUGCUAAUGGAAAUUUAAGUUAUUUUUUUUUUAAGAUGUUUCUCUGUUGCAGCUCAAUUUUGAGCUAUGUUGUGUCCUGUGACAUUAGUUUUUCUCUUUGUAUCAGAUUUUGCAGACAUUUACCUAGGAAUUAAUAGUGAGGAACGCUUUUGUACUGUAAAGUUGGAUAAUUUCAGAUUGCCUGUGGCAUUUACCUGAUCAUGAAAAAGGGAUGAACACUUAAUAGUCUUUGGCUUGAAAUUGUGGAAUUAACUUGCUUCAUAUAACCACUGCAGGAAGUGACACAAACAGUACAGAGGGAAUGUAGAUUUUUGAUCAUGUAAAAUAGGUGGGUUCAUAAAAAAAGGAAUUGCAUGUACAGUAUAUUGAGCAAAGGAGACAAACCAGGAAUAUGAAUUUUGUUGCAUAAACCUCUAAGAUUUGUUUCUUUCCAAAAUGAUGGGGCGCAACUUUAUAUGCAGAAAAGGCUUUUGAAGGGACUUGAUUUUGCCUUGUUGAUAUAAGCAUAACCUACACAAGGACAUUUCUGUUUGGAAAUAGUUGAUUUGCAUGUUGUAAUAUUUGCUACUGGAUAAAUAUUGCAUUUUUGCAUUUGUUUGUCAAGUAUAUUGACCUCACAUUUUUCCAAGUUUUAUUGGUUAAUUUUGUGUGUGUGCGCCAAAGGGGGAGUGAAAUGAAUGCUUUAGACUGUAGUUAGGUCAAUUUCCAUUCCACAUUUGUACAGUAUGUAAAACUGCAUGUAAAUUAAAUGCUAAAUAUACCACAGGAGUUUUUUUUUUUUUUUCAACUUAAAGAUUUUGCAUUUAGAUUUGCUUUACUUUGCACUCAGUUUGAUUUUGAGAAGAACAACCUUAUAGCUCAUAUAAGUUUAGAAAAGAAAUUAAGUAAUUGGAAAUCUAUUUAAAUUAUAUUUGAUCUUACUUGCAUAAAAUUGUCUAAUUUAACAAAGUGGCAUUGAUGUUUGUGUUACAAAAAUAACCUACAAGUCAAAAGUGCAACCCCUGUAUGCGGAGGUGCUCUAACAAUCCAGUAGCCUUAAGCAAACUUAUAGGUAAGAUUAUCCAGUUCAAAGCAGUCCCUGUUCUAUAGCUCUUUCUAACCAGACAAACCAGCUCCAUUUCAGAUAUGAAGUACAUUUUCCCAAGUAUUGAACUUUCCUUCAAAUGACAAAUGGUUGUGUAUGUGUAUUUUUUCCCUCCAAAGGGCACUAUUGUGUGAUGUUUAACCUAAUGGGAAAUGAUUGUAUGAUUGCAUGCCAACCCAUAAUGCAAAGCUGAGUGUUUUAGAAAAAAUAAUAAUAAUAAUGUUUUGUGUGUGUAUGCAGAAGAGUUUGGAUUUAAACGUAUAGUACUUUUAUAACAUCUGUGACCCUUAUUUUAAUAAAUAAAGAGGAUGUGAUUAAAAUCA
Long non-coding RNA from Cyprinus carpio (common carp), 6762 nucleotides. The record is from Ensembl. NCBI's taxonomy places the organism in Eukaryota, Metazoa, Chordata, Actinopteri, Cypriniformes, Cyprinidae.